CAACCAUCAAGCCCCGGGCUUGUGUUGGGGACCUGCGGCUGCCGCAGGCCCUGAAAUGCAGUGGCGGGCUCGCUGUCACACCGAGCGUAGUAGCAUUAUCUCGCUCUGGGCGUGCUGCGUGUCCCGGCCGUAAAACGACCUUACACCCAA
This 150-nucleotide unclassified non-coding RNA is filed under the name uncultured Chaetomium. RNAcentral's name for it is "sequence contains ITS2". Lineage: Eukaryota; Fungi; Ascomycota; Sordariomycetes; Sordariales; Chaetomiaceae. The record is from RNAcentral.